RNAcentral lists this ribosomal RNA (3294 nucleotides) under Triticum aestivum (bread wheat). RNAcentral describes it as "partial small subunit ribosomal RNA". Lineage: Eukaryota; Viridiplantae; Streptophyta; Magnoliopsida; Poales; Poaceae. The record is from RNAcentral.
AUGGCCGCUCAAUCCAUGUCCGCACGUAUCCCUAUCUUCACACUCAUACUACUCUCAGCCGUCUCGGCUUCUUCUUCCAGUCCGACCACCAACAGCAACGGGAGCGACACCGACCUUGCCGCGCUGCUGGCUUUUAAAGCCCAGCUCGCCGAUCCUCUCCGCAUCCUUGCCACCAACUGGACCACCGGCACGUCUUUCUGCCAUUGGAUUGGUGUUUCAUGCAGUCGGCGAAGGCAACGUGUCACUGCUCUAUCGUUCAACGGCAUGCCUCUCGUUGGCUCUUUGGCACCUCAUGUUGGUAACCUCUCUUUUCUCUCUGUCCUCAAUCUCACCCGCACCAAUCUCACGGGCUCCAUUCCAGCCGAACUUGGUAGGCUACAUCGUCUUAUGCAUCUCCGUCUCUCAAGUAAUAGCCUGUCGAAUGCUAUACCUACUUCCCUAGGGAACCUCACAAGGCUCGAGUACCUUGGUCUAUCUCUGAACCAACUCUCAGGCCAGAUCCCUUUUGAGAUGUUGUUGCAUAUGCACAACCUUAAGGUGAUUGCUCUGGCCGCAAAUGACUUGACUGGUCAAAUUCCACCACAUUUGUUCAAUAACACGCCUUCCUUGACGGUCAUCGAUUUUGGAAAUAAUAGCCUGUCAGGUCCUAUACCAAACACCAUUGCAUCUCUAUCCAUGCUUCAGUUCUUCAGCCUACAAAUUAAUCAAUUCUCUGGCCUGGUGCCACAAGCCAUUUACAACAUGUCUAGCCUACAAAGCAUGAUACUCACAGGAAAUGGUAACUUAACUGGAAUGUUUCCGAGGAAUCAAAGUUUCAACCUCCCAAUGUUGCAACGCUUUUCGCUUGAUGAUAACAACUUUUAUGGUCAAUUUCCGGUAGGGCUUGCAUCAUGCCAGAACCUGCAGGUAAUUGAUCUGGGUAGAAAUUCCUUUGUGGAUGUUUUGCCAACAUGGUUAGCCAAUUUGCCAUACCUUGAAAUACUAUUCUUGGGUUUUAGUGGCCUUAUUGGUUCAAUCCCAGAUGCUCUUAGCAAUAUCACCAGUCUUACUGAUCUGGACAUCUCAAACGGAAACCUCACAGGAGAGAUUCCACCAGAAUUAGGUCUUAUGCAUGAACUCUCGUAUAUGUACCUUGGAGGCAAUCAAUUGACUGGUAAAAUUCCAGCUUCCUUUGGCAACCUGUCCAAUUUGUAUUUCCUUUCUUUGGAAAGUAAUCAGUUGUCCAGUCUAGUACCAACAACAAUUGGAGAAAAUUCGGCUCUAGUCACGCUUGAUUUGUCAGGAAACAAUUUAGAGGGAAACAUAGACUUCUUAUCAGCUCUUUCCAAGUGCAGAGAACUCCAACUCCUUGUGAUACAAUCUAAUUAUUUCACAGGCGUCCUCCAUGGCCAUGUGGGGAACCUUAGUUCACAGCUAAUCACUUUUACUGCAGGUUACAACAAGUUAACUGGUGGAAUUCCAACAACAAUUUCAAACUUAACUAACCUUCAAUGGAUAGAUCUUAGUAACAACUUCUUCACCGAGCCAAUCUCAGAAUCCAUCGGUAUGUUGGAAAAUCUGGUAUGGCUCGAUAUCUCUUACAAUGAAAUGUUAGGCCCUAUCCCAACACAAAUAGGUAUGCUUGGGAGACUACAACGUUUGUUUCUCCAAGGAAACAAAAUUUUAGGCUCCAUACCAAAUAACUUUGGUAAUCUAAGUUCGUUAGAAUACAUCGACUUGUCCAGUAACAAUUUAAAUUCCAUGAUACCCGCGAGCUUUUUCCACCUAGAUAAACUUAUCAAACUAGAUUUUUCUCAUAAUUCCUUUGUUGGUGCAUUACCAGUUGAUGUUUCUGGUCUAAGACAAACAAAUUACAUGGACGUUUCUUCCAACUUCUUGAUUGGAAGCAUCCCAAAUUCAUUCGGACAACUUAAUAUGCUAACCUACCUAAAUUUGUCACAUAACUCUUUCAAUAGCUCAAUUCCUUCCCCUCUUGAAAAGCUAAAAAGUUUAGCAUCAUUAGACCUCUCAUUUAACAAUCUCUCUGGCACUAUUCCCAUGUUCCUUGCCAACUUGACCUACUUGACUACCUUGAACCUCUCAUUCAAUAGUCUAGAAGGCCAAAUACCCGAGGGGGGUGUUUUCUCAAACCUCACCUCACAAUCUUUGAUUGGAAAUAUCGGGCUAUGUGGGGACACACGCCUAAGAUUUCCACCAUGCCUCGACAGAUCUCCCUCAAGUAAAAGGCACUUGCUUCAAUUUCUACUCCCAAUACUUGCAUUAGCUUUCGCCAUUGCCAUUUUUGUAUUCAUAUGGACUCGAAGGAAACUUAAGAAAGCAGAUGGUGAAACUUCUGUUGAUCCAACUAAUGUCUUAGGACAUCAGAUUAUCUCCUAUCGUGAGCUUAUUCGUGCCACUAAUGAUUUUAGUGAAGAAAACUUAUUGGGAUUCGGAAGCUUUGGAAAAGUAUUUAAGGGUCAAUUGAGCAAUGGUUCGGUUGUGGCGAUAAAAGUUAUUGACAUGCGGCUGGAGCAUGCCAUCCGAAGUUUUGAUGCCGAGUGUCAAGUGCUUCGCAUGGUGCGACACCGCAAUCUGAUAAAGAUACUCAACACAUGUUCCAACCUUGACUUCAGAGCACUAGUGCUUCAGUACAUGCCCAAUGGCAACUUAGAGAUGCUCCUACACAUGUCUCGGAGUACAAGGUGCUUGGGAUUUCUUGAAAGACUAAGCAUCAUGCUCGAUGUGUCGAUGGCAAUGAAUUAUCUACACCACGAGCACUACGAGCUUAUAUUGCAUUGUGACCUAAAGCCUAGCAAUGUGCUGUUUGAUGAGGAGAUGACGGCGCAUGUGGCAGACUUUGGGAUUGCAAGAUUGCUUCUAGAUGACAGCUCCAUGAUAAGUGAAAGCAUGCCUGGAACAGUUGGGUACAUGGCACCAGAGUAUGGGUCGCUUGGAAAAGCAUCAAGGAAGAGCGAUGUGUUUAGUUAUGGAAUCAUGAUCCUUGAGGUCUUCACUAGAAGGAGACCCACUGAUGCUACAUUCGGUGCACAACUAAACCUUAGGCAAUGGGUUCAUCGUGCAUUUCCCGCAGAGCUUGUCCAGGUCAUUGAUGGCCAGCUACUGCAAGACUCCUCUCUUUCUAGUUGCGGCUUGGACAAUGGCUUUCUUGAGUCGGUAUUUGAGCUAGGUUUGGUCUGUACCAGUGACUCGCCUAACCAGAGGAUGACUAUGCAUGAUGUGGUUGUGGCGCUGAAGAAGAUCAAAGCCGAGUACACCAAACAUGCAACAAAGAUGUCACCUUAUGCUACACAAUGA